Molecule: transfer RNA, 145 nt
Filed under: Roseovarius nubinhibens ISM
Lineage: Bacteria; Pseudomonadati; Pseudomonadota; Alphaproteobacteria; Rhodobacterales; Roseobacteraceae
Description: tRNA-Arg
Source: RNAcentral
CCCGAUCUCGGCCAGAUCCGCGCCCACCAGUUCCUUGUUGGCAUCCGAUUUGAGCAGGACGAUAUCCGACCAUUUCUCGGCCUUGACGAUGAGCCACAUAGGUUUGGGGUUGGCCUUGAUCCGGGCGCGAUCCUCGGGAUUGGCG